Molecule: long non-coding RNA, 768 nt
Filed under: Junco hyemalis (dark-eyed junco)
Lineage: Eukaryota; Metazoa; Chordata; Aves; Passeriformes; Passerellidae
Description: lncRNA (ENSJHYG00000016331.1)
Source: RNAcentral
GAAAAAUAUGAAAGUGAAGAGAACAUUGUUUUCUUUGCUUUCAUGGUUGUAUUUUUGAAUUGUACCAUUUUUCUUCUCCAGGCCAAGGGCAGAGUCUUCCAUUUACUUAGAGUUAUUUUUGCUGAUUUUUCAGGCCUAGCAAGAAACUAUGAGGCAGAAGAGGACGAGGAAGAAGAGCAUGACUACAGCUAUAUUGAUGAAAACAUAAUUGAAAACAUAAGAAAAGUAUUUCAUGGCACCAGCAUUAGAAAUGAGCACACAGUCUCCAAAGGAAGAAGAGACAACUGAAGGAAAAUAAUUCUGAAAUUAACUGGAAACAAGUAGGAAGCUGUGUCCUUGGCACAUCAAGAUUGACCACAACUGUAAGAAAAAGCUGCUCAUGAAAGUGUCCUUCUUGACUCAUGGAGAGCAUACAAGGCUGUAAUUUAGCUAUAAUAAUCCCCUGCAAAAUGAAACUGCUUACUUGUCCUAAAUAAGAAGUCAAACCAGCUAAUGUCUCAUGACCCUUUGAAGGGACAAAGCUCUUCUGUACAUAUUUAUUAGUGAAUUCAGAGAACAAUGCCAAGUCCAAUCCUUCAUUCUUAUUGCGCCUGAAAUUCCGGUUAUUUCCUGAACCUCUGUAGGGCAUAUGCAGAAGGAAAAUCCCUUACUGAAACAGCUGCAUGGAUAUUUCCUUUGGGUUUUGGGUUUUGGUUUUUUUUUGGUUGGUUUUUUUUUUUUUUUUUUUUUGAGAAGAAGAGGGUAAUAAAGGAUUGUCUAAGGUGGACA